CCCUUAGAUGUUCUGGGCUGCACGCGCGCUACACUGAUGCGUUCAACGAGUUUAUGACCUUGCCCGAUAGGGUUGGGUAAUCUUUUUAAAUCGCAUCGUGAUGGGGAUAGAUUAUUGCAAUUAUUAAUCUUCAACGAGGAAUUCCUAGUAAGCGCGAGUCAUCAGCUCGUGCUGAUUACGUCCCUGCCCUUUGUACACACCGCCCGUCGCACCUACCGAUUGAAUGGUCCGGUGAAGGCUUCGGAGGCGGCUUUCUCAAUGUUUAUUCGGCGAGACUGCUGCCAAAGUUGAAUGAACCUUACCAUUUAGAGGAAGGUGAAGUCGUAACA
Molecule: ribosomal RNA, 329 nt
Filed under: uncultured eukaryote
Lineage: Eukaryota
Description: partial 18S ribosomal RNA
Rfam family: Eukaryotic small subunit ribosomal RNA
Source: RNAcentral